GGGUAGUUGGCGUAGUGCGUAAAGCCUCGGCUUACUAAGCCGAAGAUCCCGGGUUCGAUUCCCGGUUGGGUCA
This 73-nucleotide transfer RNA is filed under the name Habropoda laboriosa. It matches the Rfam family "tRNA". Rfam says of the family: Transfer RNA (tRNA) molecules are approximately 80 nucleotides in length. Their secondary structure includes four short double-helical elements and three loops (D, anti-codon, and T loops). The record is from Rfam by way of RNAcentral. Lineage: Eukaryota; Metazoa; Arthropoda; Insecta; Hymenoptera; Apidae.